This 991-nucleotide ribosomal RNA is filed under the name Listeria monocytogenes. Its description in RNAcentral is "partial 23S ribosomal RNA". It matches the Rfam family "Bacterial large subunit ribosomal RNA", at positions 383 to 1375 of the family's 2925-position model. The record is from RNAcentral. Lineage: Bacteria; Bacillati; Bacillota; Bacilli; Caryophanales; Listeriaceae.
AAUAGCUUUCCCUCCAGAGUGGAUCCUGAGUACGGCGGAACACGUGAAAUUCCGUCGGAAUCCGGGAGGACCAUCUCCCAAGGCUAAAUACUCCCUAGUGACCGAUAGUGAACCAGUACCGUGAGGGAAAGGUGAAAAGCACCCCGGAAGGGGAGUGAAACAGUUCCUGAAACCGUGUGCCUACAAGUAGUUAGAGCCCGUUAAUGGGUGAUAGCGUGCCUUUUGUAGAAUGAACCGGCGAGUUACGAUUUGUUGCAAGGUUAAGCGGAAAAAGCGGAGCCGUAGCGAAAGCGAGUCUGAAUAGGGCGCAUAAGUAACAGGUCGUAGACCCGAAACCAGGUGAUCUACCCAUGUCCAGGAUGAAGGUAAGGUAAUACUUACUGGAGGUCCGAACCCACGCACGUUGAAAAGUGCGGGGAUGAGGUGUGGGUAGCGGAGAAAUUCCAAUCGAACUUGGAGAUAGCUGGUUCUCUCCGAAAUAGCUUUAGGGCUAGCCUCGAGGUAAAGAGUCAUGGAGGUAGAGCACUGUUUGGACUAGGGGCCCUUCUCGGGUUACCGAAUUCAGAUAAACUCCGAAUGCCAUGUACUUAUACUCGGGAGUCAGACUGCGAGUGAUAAGAUCCGUAGUCGAAAGGGAAACAGCCCAGACCACCAGUUAAGGUCCCCAAAUAUAUGUUAAGUGGAAAAGGAUGUGGGGUUGCUUAGACAACCAGGAUGUUGGCUUAGAAGCAGCCACCAUUGAAAGAGUGCGUAAUAGCUCACUGGUCGAGUGACCCCGCGCCGAAAAUGUACCGGGGCUAAACAUAUUACCGAAACUGUGGAUGAACCUCUUUAGAGGUUCGUGGUAGGAGAGCGUUCUAAGGGCGGUGAAGUCAGACCGGAAGGACUGGUGGAGCGCUUAGAAGUGAGAAUGCCGGUAUGAGUAGCGAAAGAAGGGUGAGAAUCCCUUCCACCGAAUAUCUAAGGUUUCCUGAGGAAGGCUCGUCCGCUC